CUAUCCCCAGACCAUUUGACUCCCUAAUUAUUUAUCGUAUCCUUUUUAUUUAUCCUUUUUCGUUAGCGGUUCAAAACUCCUUAUCUUUCUCAUUCACUACUCUUUAUACAAAUGGAUCUGAACGGAAAUACUGUUCUGUUAUCACAUCACAAUGGAAUAUUAUACAUGUACAAAUGAACAUCUUUGAGCAAGGAAUCCCCAUUUGAAUGAUAUUUUUUUAUUCAGACUGAAACUUAAACUUACAAAGUUGUUCUUUUGACAAAUUAUAGGACCUGCAUGAGACUUUGUAAUACCCGUUCAAUUGACAUAGAAGCAUGUUCUCUAGUAAAAUGAAAAUGAGGAUGAGACAUCAGGAAUAG
This 359-nucleotide unclassified non-coding RNA is filed under the name Senecio sotikensis. RNAcentral describes it as "partial trnL-trnF intergenic spacer". The record is from RNAcentral. Lineage: Eukaryota; Viridiplantae; Streptophyta; Magnoliopsida; Asterales; Asteraceae.